UUAGUUUUACAGUCUGCUUCCUGCUUGUAAGAAAUUUUUGGUCCAAAUGCCUCUUUUGUUUUUGUCCCCUUCAGAGCAUACAAUUAAAAUUCCCUUAAAAACUAUGCAGGUUUCCUGUGUAUCAGUUAAAAUCUACUCCAAUAGAUUAAAGUGACACCCACAUAUCUUUUCAAUUCAGGCCCCUCUCUAACCUUGGACUGAGAACCAAAGGACUAUGCAACGAUACCUUUAAGAACCUUAGAAUCCUGUAGUCUAGCAAAGAGGGUCUAGGAGGCAACAUCUUAAAUCCAUCUGACAUCUUAACAGAGAAUCUUAUAGCUGUAAAUGAAUUAGUCACUACUGACAUUCUAUCUGGAAAUCUCCUUAUUCCAGCCCACAGAUAGAGAGACACAGAGUGUGAGCAGGGAGGGGCAGAGAGAGAGUGAGACA
Herpailurus yagouaroundi (jaguarundi) is the source of this 429-nucleotide long non-coding RNA. RefSeq lists it as uncharacterized. The transcript has 3 exons. Lineage: Eukaryota; Metazoa; Chordata; Mammalia; Carnivora; Felidae. The record is from RefSeq and is a predicted model, not a curated record.